This 497-nucleotide ribosomal RNA is filed under the name uncultured bacterium. RNAcentral describes it as "partial 16S ribosomal RNA". It matches the Rfam family "Bacterial small subunit ribosomal RNA", at positions 28 to 507 of the family's 1533-position model. The record is from RNAcentral.
GAUGAACGCUGGCGGCGUGCCUAAUACAUGCAAGUCGAGCGAACAGACGAGGAGCUUGCUCCUCUGAAGUUAGCGGCGGACGGGUGAGUAACACGUGGAUAACCUACCUAUAAGACUGGGAUAACUUCGGGAAACCGGAGCUAAUACCGGAUAAUAUAUUGAACCGCAUGGUUCAAUAGUGAAAGACGGUUUUGCUGUCACUUAUAGAUGGAUCCGCGCCGCAUUAGCUAGUUGGUAAGGUAACGGCUUACCAAGGCAACGAUGCGUAGCCGACCUGAGAGGAUGAUCAGCCACACUGGAACUGAGACACGGUCCAGACUCCUACGGGAGGCAGCAGUAGGGAAUCUUCCACAAUGGGCGAAAGCCUGACGGAGCAACGCCGCGUGAGUGAUGAAGGUCUUCGGAUCGUAAAACUCUGUUAUUAGGGAAGAACAAAUGUGUAAGUAACUAUGCACGUCUUGACGGUACCUAAUCAGAAAGCCACGGCUAACUACGUG